NNGCUGCUGAGGAGUCCCGCCAUAGGACGAAACGGCCGUUCAGUGC
Molecule: non-coding RNA, 46 nt
Organism: Schistosoma mattheei
Lineage: Eukaryota; Metazoa; Platyhelminthes; Trematoda; Strigeidida; Schistosomatidae
Source: Rfam